Molecule: ribosomal RNA, 513 nt
Filed under: uncultured bacterium
Lineage: Bacteria
Description: partial 16S ribosomal RNA
Rfam family: Bacterial small subunit ribosomal RNA
Source: RNAcentral
GACGAACGCUGGCGGCGUGCCUAAUACAUGCAAGUUGAGCGCUGAAGGUUGGUACUUGUACCGACUGGAUGAGCAGCGAACGGGUGAGUAACGCGUGGGGAAUCUGCCUUUGAGCGGGGGACAACAUGUGGAAACGAAUGCUAAUACCGCAUAAAAACUUUAAACACAAGUUUUAAGUUUGAGAGAUGCAAUUGCAUCACUCAAAGAUGAUCCCGCGUUGUAUUAGCUAGUUGGUGAGGUAAAGGCGCACCAAGGCGAUGAUACAUAGCCGACCUGAGAGGGUGAUCGGCCACAUUGGGACUGAGACACGGCCCAAACUCCUACGGGAGGCAGCAGUAGGGAAUCUUCGGCAAUGGACGAAAGUCUGACCGAGCAACGCCGCGUGAGUGAAGAAGGUAUUCGGAUCGUAAAACUCUGUUGGUAGAGAAGAACGUUGGUGAGAGUGGAAGGCUCAUCAAGUGACGGUAACUACCCAGAAAGGGACGGCUAACUACGUGCCAGCCGCCGCAGUAA